UACGUAGGGGGCAAGCGUUGUCCGGAUUUAUUGGGCGUAAAGAGCGUGUAGGCGGCCAGGUAGGUCAGCUGUGAAAACUCGAGGCUCAACCUCGAGACGUCGGUUGAAACCACCUGGCUAGAGUCCGGAAGAGGCGAGUGGAAUUCCGGGUGUAGUGGUGAAAUGCGCAGAGAUCCGGAGGAACACCAGUGGCGAAGGCGGCUCGCUGGGCUCUACCUGACGCUGAGGCGCGAAAGCGUGGGGAGCGAACCGG
RNAcentral lists this ribosomal RNA (253 nucleotides) under uncultured bacterium. RNAcentral describes it as "partial 16S ribosomal RNA". It matches the Rfam family "Bacterial small subunit ribosomal RNA", at positions 524 to 776 of the family's 1533-position model. The record is from RNAcentral.